This is an RNA transcript of Tyto alba (common barn owl), 1092 nucleotides long. It is a transcript of the gene named LYR motif containing 1, with no coding region annotated. The transcript has 5 exons. The record is from RefSeq and is a predicted model, not a curated record. Lineage: Eukaryota; Metazoa; Chordata; Aves; Strigiformes; Tytonidae.
GCCGUCAGCUGGCGGCGGCGCAGCACGCCGCGCCAUCACGUCAGGCGGCGUGCCCGACGCCGCACGCAUGGUGAGGGCAGGGAACGGCAACGAGCCACCGCCUCCCUCGCCCACCGAAGCGGGGGGACGGGGCCUGACGGGGCGGAACCGCCGCAGGAAGGCGGGAAGCGGGGCCGCGGUGCGCUUCUUCCCGAAGAUGACAUCAGUUACUCGACAAGAAGUUCUUGGCCUUUACCGCAAGAUAUUCCAAAUAGCCAAAAAAUGGCAGUCGGCAUCAGGACAGAUAGAAGAAACUAUUAAAGAGAAAGAGUACAUUAAAAAUGAAGCCAGAACAUUAUUCCGAAAAAACAAAAAUGUAACAGAUCCAAAGUUGAUUAAGCAGUGUAUAGAAGAAUGUGAGGCAAGAAUAGAAAUUGGACUUCACUAUAACAUCCCCUACCCAAGACCUAUCCAUCUGCCUCCUAUGGGUCUUGCCCAUAAACAAGGCCGUAUGUUGCGACACCAGGAAAAGUUAAGGAAGAUUUCUAAGCCAAUAUACCUGAAAUCCCAUGAUGAAGUUUCAUAACCCAUCGUUUAAGAUUUGAUGUCUAAUCACAUCAUUUAAACUGUGGACUACAAUCCAGCACCAGAAGGCAAAGACUAAAAUUUGCUAAAACCUCAGGUUGUUCAGCUACAGGAAAGAUUAGAUCAGUUCUUUUUUCAAGUCUGGAGAGCAAAUCCCUUCUUUCGCAGCUGUAUGGAAAAGAGAAUCUGCCUUAGAGCUCUUUGGUUUUGGAGGUCAAACUGGCAAACUACCAUUUUGAGGGAAUUUCAUAAAAAAAAGUUUCAUCUGCAACCUAGUCCAGCGGGUAGGCAGACAUCUCAACGGGUACUCACUGUAUUAAAUUCCAGGGCUGUCAAGAAGUAUCCCAAUGAUGGGACAAUGUUAUUCUUACACAUUAAUUUUACUUGCAAAAGAUGCUGUCCUAAAAUGCCUCCUGAGUUCUCAAGUUUGUAAUGCACUGGAUUCAACCAGUCAGUAUACACUCUGUCCUGUACUUUCUUAACUUUGUCUUACUCCUCUUCCAGUAAAUACUGUCUCUUUCAAAUUUG